This 59-nucleotide ribosomal RNA is filed under the name Bacteroides stercoris. Lineage: Bacteria; Pseudomonadati; Bacteroidota; Bacteroidia; Bacteroidales; Bacteroidaceae. The record is from RNAcentral.
UCAGGUGACUAUAGCACUGAGGUUCCACCUCUUCCCAUUCCGAACAGAGAAGUUAAGCU